Molecule: long non-coding RNA, 239 nt
Filed under: Nicotiana benthamiana
Lineage: Eukaryota; Viridiplantae; Streptophyta; Magnoliopsida; Solanales; Solanaceae
Description: long non-coding RNA (NBEN_LNC008640)
Source: RNAcentral
UGUUGAAACACGUUCUUAAACUAAACGUGUGUUGAUCUAUGUAGGUUUUGAUAAAUGACAAACCAACGAGCAUGGAACGUUAACGUUCAAACACAAGAGAAACAAGAACAAGAUCAAGUGAAGCAACGAAGUUAUACUUGGGUCGUUUUAUAGUGUGAUCUUGAUUCAACAACAGAUUCAACUAUUAGCUUCUCUCGUAAAAUCAUUUUCAUCAAAACAUGCAUCUUUGAAGUAAAAUA